CGCUGGCGGCAGGCCUAACACAUGCAAGUCGAGCGAGACCUUCGGGUCUAGCGGCGGACGGGUGAGUAACGCGUGGGAAUAUGCCCUUCGGUUCGGAAUAGCCCCGGGAAACUGGGAGUAAUACCGGAUACGGUCUACGGACGAAAGAUUUAUCGCCGAAGGAUUAGCCCGCGUUGGAUUAGGUAGUUGGUGGGGUAAUGGCCUACCAAGCCGACGAUCCAUAGCUGGUUUGAGAGGAUGAUCAGCCACACUGGGACUGAGACACGGCCCAGACUCCUACGGGAGGCAGCAGUGGGGAAUCUUAGACAAUGGGGGAAACCCUGAUCUAGCCAUGCCGCGUGAGCGAUGAAGGCCUUAGGGUUGUAAAGCUCUUUCAGCGGGGAAGAUAAUGACUGUACCCGCAGAAGAAGCCCCGGCUAACUCCGUG
RNAcentral lists this ribosomal RNA (427 nucleotides) under uncultured bacterium. Its description in RNAcentral is "bacterial SSU rRNA". It matches the Rfam family "Bacterial small subunit ribosomal RNA", at positions 34 to 507 of the family's 1533-position model. The record is from RNAcentral.